This 254-nucleotide ribosomal RNA is filed under the name uncultured bacterium. RNAcentral describes it as "partial 16S ribosomal RNA". It matches the Rfam family "Bacterial small subunit ribosomal RNA", at positions 524 to 776 of the family's 1533-position model. The record is from RNAcentral.
UACGGGGGGAGCAAGCGUUGUUCGGAUUUACUGGGCGUAAAGGGCGCGUAGGCGGUGUGACAAGUCACUUGUGAAAUCUCCGGGCUUAACUCGGAACGGUCAAGUGAUACUGUCGGACUAGAGUACAGAAGGGGGCAACUGGAAUUCUCGGUGUAGCGGUGAAAUGCGUAGAUAUCGAGAGGAACACCUGCGGCGAAGGCGGGUUGCUGGGCUGAUACUGACGCUGAGGCGCGAAAGCCAGGGGAGCGAACGGG